This 214-nucleotide ribosomal RNA is filed under the name uncultured bacterium. Its description in RNAcentral is "partial 16S ribosomal RNA". It matches the Rfam family "Bacterial small subunit ribosomal RNA", at positions 1282 to 1500 of the family's 1533-position model. The record is from RNAcentral.
CUAGUCUCAGUUCGGAUCGGAGUCUGCAACCCCGACUCCGUGAAGCUGGAUUCGCUAGUAAUCGCGCAUCAGCCAUGGCGCGGUGAAUACGUUCCCGGGCCUUGUACACACCGCCCGUCAAGCCAUGGGAGUCGGGAGUGCCUGAAGUUCGUGACCGUCACAGGAGCGACCUAAGGCAAGACCGAUGACUGGGGCUAAGUCGUAACAAGGUAUC